This 199-nucleotide ribosomal RNA is filed under the name uncultured bacterium. RNAcentral describes it as "partial 16S ribosomal RNA". It matches the Rfam family "Bacterial small subunit ribosomal RNA", at positions 328 to 539 of the family's 1533-position model. The record is from RNAcentral.
ACGCUCGACACCUACGAGAGGCAGCAGUGGGGAAUAUUGCACAAUGGGGGAAACCCUGAUGCAGCGACGCCGCGUGAGCGAAGAAGUAUUUCGGUAUGUAAAGCUCUAUCAGCAGGGAAGAAACUGACGGUACCUGACUAAGAAGCACCGGCUAAAUACGUGCCAGCAGCCGCGGUAAUCUGAGGCGGGCUGGCAAGGC